AAUCCCUGACAUUUCUGCAGAACGAGUAAAUCUUUCGCCUUUUACUAAAGAUUUCCGUGUAGAAUUGUUAUUAUGUUGGGAAUAUAUGAAUUUUUGGAACUUUUCUUCUUAUAAGAAGAAA
Molecule: non-coding RNA, 121 nt
Organism: Anaeromyces robustus
Lineage: Eukaryota; Fungi; Neocallimastigomycota; Neocallimastigomycetes; Neocallimastigales; Neocallimastigaceae
Source: Rfam